Molecule: long non-coding RNA, 4939 nt
Organism: Mauremys mutica (yellowpond turtle)
Lineage: Eukaryota; Metazoa; Chordata; Testudines; Geoemydidae
Exons: 5
Source: RefSeq, a predicted model, not a curated record
AUCAUUUCCGUAACAUGGGCAGCUUGACCUCCCUGUAACUAGGGUUUGAGUCUCCGAGGCCCUUUGGGUCUCCAUUAGCUGUUAGUGAGUGUGACUGCCCUGCAAUCAGGGUGCAAGUCACCUCCCCCUAAAUGUGGGGGGGCAUUGAGCUCUUUGUUAAACUGAGCAAUGUGACCCCCCUGUAACUAGGGCCCGGGUCUCUGCCCACUUGCUCAUUUGGCUUUACGCUGUGCUCUGCCCCAUUAGUCAGCGUGACAACCCUGUAAUUAGGGUCUAGGUCACAAGUUACUCUUAAAUGGGAAGAUAUGGAGCUCUUUGGUACUUUCACAGCUGGACCUUCCUGUAAUUCAGGUUAUGGUCUCUCCUAUUUGGCUAAUGUCAGCGACCACCCUGUAAUGAGGGGACAGGUAGCAAUUCGCAUUUGAAAUCUGGGGGAUUAGAAUCAUUUCCGUAACAUGGGCAGCUUGACCUCCCUGUAACUAGGGUUUGGUCUCUGAGGCCCUUUGGGUCUCUUGGCCUCGUGCUGUCUUCACAGCGUGCUGCGAAGGACCGCCCUGUCAUCAGGGACGGGUCUUUGCCCUCUAGUCUCUUGGCACUAGGUCAAAUGCAGCCACUGCCCCGAAUGAGCACCCUGUAAACAGGGUACAGGUCUCAUCAGCUGUUAUUUAUGGUGCCCCCAUGAGACUGUGUCCAGAGUUCCAGCCCAUUAAGCAGCGCUUGCAACGUGCCUGGAAUUCUGCAGCCAAGUCUCCUGCUUUCUGCUCCCUUCUUGGACUCUUGGAGACCUGACUUGCUAUUGGUGGCAUCGUGAAGCACAAGUGGAGAAGAAGGAAGUGUCAGGAAUGCCACAGACAGAGGAGAAAAGAAGAUGGAGGAAAAGGAAAGGAACUCUGGGCACAGUACCCUCCCUCAAAUCAGCCUCAGGUCAUGUAAUUAGACUGUAUUGGAAUCUCGAGCCUUUUAAUACCUUGAGCAGCGUGACCGCCCUGUAAGCUGGGUCCCGGUCUGUCCCCUUUGGACAUUCUGCUCCGUCAUCUGGCUAGUGUGCGUGACUGCCCUGUAAUCAGGGUGCCAGUCACCUCCCCCUAAAUGUGGAGGGGCAUUGAGCUCUUUCUUUAAUUGAGCAUUGUGACCGCCCUGUAACCAGGGUCCGGGUCUCUGCCCACUUGCUCAUUUGGCAUUACGCCGUGCUCUGCCCCACUAGUCAGCGUGACAACCCUGUAAUUAUGGUUCAUGUCACAAGGCUCUCCAGAAUGGGACAUAUCGAGCUCUUUGGUACUUUCACAGCUGGACCUUCCUGUAAUUCAGGUUAUGGUCUCUCCUAUUUGGCUAAUGCCAGCGACCACCCUGUAAUGAGGGGACAGGUUGCAUCUCGCUUUUGAAAUCUGGGGGAUUGGAAUCAUUUCCAUAACAUGGGCAGCUUGACCUCCCUGUAACUAGGGUUUGAGUCUCCGAAGCCCUUUGGGUCUCCAUUAGCUGUUAGUGAGUGUGACUGCCCUGCAAUCAGGGUGCAAGUCACCUCCCCCUAAAUGUGGGGGGGCAUUGAGCUCUUUGUUAAACUGAGCAAUGUGACCGCCCUGUAACUAGGGCCCGGGUCUCUGCCCACUUGCUCAUUUGGCUUUACGCUGUGCUCUACCCCAUUAGUCAGCGUGACAACCCUGUAAUUAGGGUCUAGGUCACAAGUUACUCUUAAAUGGGACAUAUCGAGCUCUUUGGUAAUUUCACAGCUGGACCUUCCUGUAAUUCAGGUUAUGGUCUCUCCUCUUUGGCUAAUGCCAGCGACCACCCUGUACUGAGGGGACAGGUUGCGUCUCACUUUUGAAAUCUGGGGGAUUAGAAUCAUUUCCGUAACAUGGGCAGCUUGACCUCCCUGUAACUAGGGUUUGGUCUCCGAGGCCCUUUGGGUCUCUUGGCCUCGUGCUCUCUUCACAGCGUGCUGCGAAGGACCGCCCUGUCAUCAGGGACGGGUCUUUGCCCUCUAGUCUCUUGGCACUAGGCCAAAUGCAGCCACUGCCCCGAAUGAGCACCCUGUAAACAGGGUACAGGUCUCAUCAGCUGUUAUUUAUGGUGCCCCCAUGAGACUGUGUCCAGAGUUCCAGCCCAUUAAGCAGCGCUUGCAACGUGCCUGGAAUUCUGCAGCCAAGUCUCCUGCUUUCUACUCCCUUCUUGGACUCUUGGAGACCUGACUUGCUAUUGGUGGCAUCGUGAAGCACAAGUGGAGAAGAAGGAAGUGUCAGGAAUGCCACAGACAGAGGAGAAAAGAAGAUGGAGGAAAAGGAAAGGAACUCUGGGCACAGUACCCUCCCUCAAAUCAGCCUCAGGUCAUGUAAUUAGACUGUAUGGGAAUCUGGAGCCUUUUAAUACCUUGAGCAGCGUGACCGCCCUGUAAGCUGGGUCCCGGUCUGUCCCCUUUGGACAUUCUGCUCCGUCAUCUGGCUAGUGUGAGUGACUGCCCUGUAAUCAGGGGGCCAGUCACCUCCCCCUAAAUGUGGAGGGGCAUUGAGCUCUUUCUUUAAUGGAGCAUUGUGACCGCCCUGUAACUAGGGUCCGGGUCUCUGCCCACUUGCUCAUUUGGCACUACGCCGUGCUCUGCCCCACUAGUCAGCGUGACAACCCUGUAAUUAGGGUCCAUGUCACAAGGCUCUUCAGAAUAGGACAUAUCGAGCUCUUUGGUGCUUUCACAGCUGGACCUUCCUGUAAUUCAGGUUAUGGUCUCUCCUAUUUGGCUAAUGCCAGCGACCACCCUGUACUGAGGGGACAGGUUGCAUCUCGCUUUUGAAAUCUGGGGGAUUAGAAUCAUUUCCGUAACAUGGGCAGCUUGACCUCCCUGUAACUAGGGUUUGAGUCUCCGAAGCCCUUUGGGUCUCCAUUAGCUGUUAGUGAGUGUGACUGCCCUGCAAUCAGGGUGCAAGUCACCUCCCCCUAAAUGUGGGGGGGCAUUGAGCUCUUUGUUAAACUGAGCAAUGUGACCGCCCUGUAACUAGGGCCCGGGUCUCUGCCCACUUGCUCAUUUGGCUUUACGCCGUGCUCUGCCCCAUUAGUCAGCGUGACAACCCUGUAAUUAGGGUCUAGGUCACAAGUCACUCUUAAAUGGGACAUAUGGAGCUCUUUGGUACUUUCACAUCUGGACCUUCCUGUAAUUCAGGUUAUGGUCUCUCCUCUUUGGCUAAUGCCAGCGACCACCCUGUACUGAGGGGACAGGUUGCAUCUCACUUUUGAAAUCUGGGGGAUUAGAAUCAUUUCCGUAACAUGGGCAGCUUGACCUCCCUGUAACUAGGGUUUGGUCUCCGAGUCCCUUUGGGUCUCUUGGCCUCGUGCUGUCUUCACAGCGUGCUGCGAAGGACCGCCCUGUCAUCAGGGACGGGUCUUUGCCCUCUAGUCUCUUGGCACUAGGCCAAAUGCAGCCACUGCCCCGAAUGAGCACCCUGUAAACAGGGUACAGGUCUCAUCAGCUGUUAUUUAUGGUGCCCCCAUGAGACUGUGUCCAGAGUUCCAGCCCAUUAAGCAGCGCUUCCAACGUGCCUGGAAUUCUGCAGCCAAGUCUCCUGCUUUCUACUCCCUUCUUGGACUCUUGGAGACCUGACUUGCUAUUGGUGGCAUCAUGAAGCACAAGUGGAGAAGAAGGAAGUGUCAGGAAUGCCACAGACAGAGGAGAAAAGAAGAUGGAGGAAAAGGAAAGGAACUCUGGGCACAGUACCCUCCCUCAAAUCAGCCUUAGGUCAUGCAUCUUGAAGCACAAGUGGAGAAGAAGGAAGUAUCAAUACCAAGGCAUGACUGUGAAUGUGAAAUGCAGAGACCUUAAACACACAAGUUCUAUAGAAUGAUUACUUCCUUUUAUUAAUAAGUCAUCAUUUCCUAUUGGAAGUGCAAGGAUGUGACUGAAGGGAAGCCAUAGAUUUUUAUUCUCCACUCACCCCCAAUUCUGCCCCCCAAACUCCUCAAAUAAAUUUAAGGUUCACAAAAUUAACAUUUACUCCAGGUAACGCCUAACUUGUGUAUUUCUCACACAUUUCUAAAAGGGAGCAAACAAAACUAAAUAUUCUGGCAUCUGGCAGUUACUUCCUGCACUUCACAACUUUCAAACACCUACUCUACUUAAACGGUCUCACCAACCAAAGUGUACCACACAAUCAAUAUUAACUUUGCACCUAUUUUGUCAGAAGUUAGUGUUUUUAGUAGUUGUGUCCAUUGGUGGACGUGGCAAUAGUGGUGUUUUAAUAAUCUUUUAUGCUGAUUGAAUUCAGAGGAUGAUGAUGUGGAUGUUUAGGUAGGUAUUUUUCUGUUAAGUCUUGGUAUUUGAGCAGAGGUGCAGUAUUUUGUGAUUAUGAUUGUUUUUCUGGUAUUGGUUUAGUGUUAAUUGUUGGCAAUUUUAGAUGUUUUUGUGUACUUACAUUAGUAGUUGUAUUUAGAGGGCAAAGCUGAGGUUGUCUGUUUGGUGCAAUUUGAUUGGUGUAAAAGUUAAUUUCGGGUAGGUGUUUGAAAGCCCUGAGCUUUGAAUUUGUAGCUCAACGGGGAUGCAGGACCCACCUGGCUACCUCAAUUCUAACUUUCAUUCCUAAUUCCAAAAUCUUGGAUGAAGAUGACCAUAUAAAGAAGAAUAAAGAUAUCUCCAGAGACUUUCAAGAGGAUAGCAUGUCUGCAGCUUUUCAAAGUGCAAUAAUUGUGGAAAACUUCUACUUCUGCCACUUAAGUGUUGAACAAUAAUCUGUAUUAAAGGAUUUACACUGGUAGUUAAUUCUGUUCUGUAUUAAGAUGAUUUUGCUAAAAUCACCACUUUAUGAUGUGUGAUAUGAAUUAACUAGGUCUGAUUAUACCUAUUUGAUAAAAGUUGGACUGCUCCAUAUUAAAUGCAUGGAUUGAACUUUGAUUGUCAUAUCACAUUGCUUUGCUUUCUGUAACUCCUUAUUUAUGAAUGUAUUUAUUACUCUUUAUGUCAUUC